Homo sapiens (human) is the source of this 1812-nucleotide long non-coding RNA. Ensembl annotates it as SOX9 antisense RNA 1. Its record names the gene SOX9-AS1. The record is from Ensembl. NCBI's taxonomy places the organism in Eukaryota, Metazoa, Chordata, Mammalia, Primates, Hominidae.
GGGAAGGCGGGGGACCCGGGACUUCCAAGUGUCCAAAAACAAUCCAUUGAUACACUUGGUGACAUUAAUUGAGAAAAAAACAAUAUGGUCUGGCCAUGGAGGCAUGGUAUCCGUAACAUCCCCCAAAGGAGCUAAAGAAGAAAUCCACAAUUUACCAUGAGCAUUUCUCGUCUGAAGAUUGCCAAGCGAUUCCUCCAGGACAUUCCUCAAGAUCAAUUUCUGUUCAUCCACCUUGUCCUGGGAGGGACAUCAAUGGGUUUCCAUGUCCUUUGGCUUCUGGUUGAGUUCACUCAGUGGAGAACCCUGGCAAGAGGCAGGAAAAGGGGAGGAAGGUAAGAUCAGGGUAUUUUCUCCAGUGGCUUCCUACAUGAGAAGUCAUUUUGGGUUGGCUGUUUCCCCCAAGUGAAGAUCAUUGACUCUCUAAAGCUGGCCAACUCAACUUGUCCUUUUACUAAUUGGAUCAAGUAAUUGCUACCUCUGUUUGUCCUUUUGAGUCUAAAAAUGGCAAGCCCCAGGUUACUGCAUUGUCUUUUGUGAUUUCCCUAUACCACACCUCUGUAAAUAAACCUUUCUUAAAUCAUCCCUUUUUGAAUGUGCCAUCUGCUUCCUGUUGUGGCUCUGAGCUAUAUAAAUAUGAUGUGAAAAACCUAGGACACAACGUAGAUCAAAGAGUGCCUGGAAGAAUCUUUUUUCCCCCUUAUUUUAUUUUAUUCUUCCCAUAUUUACCAGUGAGAUAUCUUUAUAUUACCCCUGAGAUCUGAAACCGUAAAACAUAAAACAUAGAAGUGUUUUUUUUAAACAUUUUAUUUUAUUUUUUAUUUAUUUAAUUUUUACAUUUUAUUUUAUUUUAGGCUUUAUGAUACAUGUGUUGAAUGUGCAGGUUCGUUACAUAGGUAAAUGUGUGGCAUGGUGGUUUGCUGCACCUAUCAACCCAUCACCUAGGUAUUAAGCCCUGCAUGCAUUAGCUAUUAGUCCUGAUGCUCUCCCUCCCCCGCACCCCCUAGCAGGUCCCUGGUGUAUGUUGUUCCACUCCCUGUGUUCAUGUAUUCUCAUUGUUCAACUCCCACUUAUGAGUGAGAACAUGCAGUGUUUGAUUUUCUGUUCCUGUGUCAGUUUACUGAGGAUACUGGCUUCCAGCGUCAUCCACGUCUCAGUAUAGGACAUCAUCUCAUUCCUUUUUAUGGCUGCAUAGUAUUCCAUGGUGUAUAUGUAUCACAUUUUUCUUUAUCCAGUCUACCAUUGUGGGCAUUUGGGUUCAUUCCAAGUCUUUAAUAAGGGUUUGGUCUUACCUGAUUUAUGUUAGAAGGAAACCAUUUGUUUGGAAUGAAUAGAGUAAAUCUUUUGGGAAAAUAGAAAAAAAGAUUAUUUUAAAAUCAUGUGAAUAUUUAGGUCUAAGAGUUGUCCAUGAAUCCUUAGCUCAGUGUUCAUAGAUCCCUACAAACAAGAUCUAUGAAUAGAAUUCUUGGAAUCCUUAAGUUAGGAUAGGAAAAAAUUACAUCUUUAUUUUUUCUAACCUCUAUUUGAAAUGUAGUAUUUCUUUCCAUCACAAGUGUAUGUGACAAGACACAAUAGUGUUGGUCAUUACUAAGGCUUUAUCACCGACAAAAAUCAUAGGUAUUUUUAUAUCACACUGCAGUGUUGUAAAAAUCUCAAGAUAUCAUCUAUACUCUUCACUGCUUCGAAAUUAUGGUAGUUGGUAGACCCACCUUCAGGUCUUGUUAUUGGCGGCAUUAAUAAGGAAGUGUAUAUGUUAUGUUUCACAAUUUUAUUUUCUAAAUACUUUCAGAUUGCAACUGCAUUUCCAUAUAAUUU